AGCUUUGCACAGUGGCAGUAUCGUAGCCAAUGAGGUUUAUCCGAGGCGCGAUUAUUGCUAAUUAAAUAUACUCUUCAAGAAGAGGCUGCAACUGUCUCACAGCUCUCAAGAUCACAGACUUUCAUCUUUAUAUAUCUGGCACCAGG
Small nuclear RNA from Mustela erminea (ermine), 146 nucleotides. RefSeq annotates it as U4 spliceosomal RNA. The transcript has a single exon. Lineage: Eukaryota; Metazoa; Chordata; Mammalia; Carnivora; Mustelidae. The record is from RefSeq and is a predicted model, not a curated record.